Long non-coding RNA from Ornithodoros turicata, 443 nucleotides. RefSeq lists it as uncharacterized. The record is from RefSeq and is a predicted model, not a curated record. Lineage: Eukaryota; Metazoa; Arthropoda; Arachnida; Ixodida; Argasidae. The transcript is spliced from 3 exons.
CCAGAAAAUCGAAUCAAGCUUAUGGGACACUGGAUUACAGGUUGCUGCCACUACUCCAUGUGCCCGCAAUUGUCUUGCGUGUAUGAUUACACUAACGACGUCGCCCACCACGGCGGAAGUGUUUUGCGUACACGCGUUUCAGCAUGAAGCCUGCAGGUGGACGUAAAUUGUAGAAGGCAGCUAGUGGGGGAGAAGAUCAUGGUCAUAGGUCAUAUGGCUCCUGGAGCUCCCAGUGGGCUCCCUUGUGGAGUACUUUUCAGAACACACACACAGUUCGCUCACAGAACCAACGAGUAGGAUGUUGCUUGAAUACUGAGAGAAAAUGGCGUAACACAUACAAAUAUCGUGUGACACAUAUGACAAUAAAAACAUUUUUCACGAGGGAUGCAUGAAACACUGUCACAAUAUUGUGUGCAUGAACCAUUGUGUGUGACACAAGCCGU